RNAcentral lists this unclassified non-coding RNA (20 nucleotides) under Mus musculus (house mouse). RNAcentral's name for it is "oocyte_clustered_small_RNA1769". Lineage: Eukaryota; Metazoa; Chordata; Mammalia; Rodentia; Muridae. The record is from RNAcentral.
UGCGUGCUUGAUAAGGGGUA